AUUCCAGCUCCAAGAGCGUAUAUUAAAGUUGUUGCAGUUAAAAAGCUCGUAGUUGGAUUUCUGGUACAAUGCGCCUGGCCCGCGGCAGCAAUGCCUGUGAGUGCCGGUGCGCGUUGGCCAUCCUUCUAGAAAACGUUUCUACCAUUAACUUGGCUGGACUCGCGAUCUAGAUCUUUUACUUUGAAAAAAUUAGAGUGUUCAAGGCAGGCUUUUGCUGUGAAUACAUUAGCAUGGAAUAAUAAUCUAGGACUUCCGGUUCUAUUUUGUUGGUUUCUAGAAUUGAAGUAAUGAUUGAUAGGGAUAGUUGGGGGUGCUAGUAUUUAAUUGUCAGAGGUGGAAUUCUCGGAUUUGUUAAAGACUAACUUAUGCGAAAGCAUUUGCCAAGGAUGUUUUCAUUA
This 398-nucleotide ribosomal RNA is filed under the name Protaspa sp. RNAcentral describes it as "partial small subunit ribosomal RNA". It matches the Rfam family "Eukaryotic small subunit ribosomal RNA", at positions 582 to 975 of the family's 1831-position model. Lineage: Eukaryota; Cercozoa; Thecofilosea; Cryomonadida; Protaspidae. The record is from RNAcentral.